Molecule: transfer RNA, 70 nt
Filed under: Atergatis integerrimus
Lineage: Eukaryota; Metazoa; Arthropoda; Malacostraca; Decapoda; Xanthidae
Description: tRNA-Gln
Source: RNAcentral
UGAGUAUAGGUGUGAUAUUGCACAAAAAGCUUUGAUCUUUUAGGGGAUGGUGGAAACCCAUUAUAUUCAU